This 315-nucleotide ribosomal RNA is filed under the name uncultured bacterium. RNAcentral describes it as "bacterial SSU rRNA". It matches the Rfam family "Bacterial small subunit ribosomal RNA", at positions 1190 to 1510 of the family's 1533-position model. The record is from RNAcentral.
UCAUCAUGCCCUUUAUGUUCUGGGCUACACACGUGCUACAAUGGUUGGUACAGAGGGAAGCUAUAUAGUGAUAUAAUGCAAAACUCGAAAGCCAAUCCCAGUUCGGAUUGUAAGGCUGCAACUCGCCUACAUGAAGUCGGAGUUGCUAGUAAUCGCGGAUCAGAAUGUCGCGGUGAAUGCGUUCCCGGGUCUUGUACACACCGCCCGUCACACCAUGGGAGUUGAUAAUACCCGAAGCCUGUGACCUAAUUGGGGAGCAGUCGAAGGUAGGAUUGAUGACUGGGGUGAAGUCGUAACAAGGCAGCCGUAUCGGAA